RNAcentral lists this long non-coding RNA (1598 nucleotides) under Mus musculus (house mouse). RNAcentral describes it as "long non-coding RNA chr2:126682794-126684392". The record is from RNAcentral. Lineage: Eukaryota; Metazoa; Chordata; Mammalia; Rodentia; Muridae.
UUUAAGAAACUACUUUCUGGGAUUGUGUUGUGUGACUCUAUUCCUGGGGAGAGACGGGAACAAAUGUCUUCUAACCAGAUGGGGAACAUGAUAGACCAAACAAAGUAAGGAUACCACCAAAGUCUGAGUUGGUGAACAAUAGAGUUUUAAUAGGUUUAUUUACAGAGAAGAGAUGCCAUUGCCAAAAUCCCACUCCAGUAUAAGUGACAGUUCACAUAAGCUGGGAACCUGGGGCUUGCUGUUGGACUCGUUGGCAGCUCAACAGCUUAGAAGAUAUCUUUUCUAGGCAGUUGAAGUGUUCUGAGCAUCUUUGAGGCAACUUUCCAAGUCUCUGCUUCUUGUAAGCAACAUGUCUUGUGUGAUAUUCUUCUAGCCUAGCAGUUUUCAGCCUGUGAGUCAUGAUCAUUGAAAAACACACAUUUCUCAUGGUCUUAGGAACUCCCAACCAUAAGUUUAUUUUUGUUGCUACUUCAUAACUGAUUUUGCUGAGACCUAAGACUGCUGUUCUAGGCAGCUUGGUUUGUCUGAGAGUAUAUUUCAAACAGUCUACUGCUUAUCUACACAUUUGGGGAGAGAGGAGUAUAGUGAAUCUUUUUGUUGGUUUCAGGGACUUGUUGACGCUACUUUGAGUUGUUUCCUUCCCGAGGUUCGUGAUUGCUGAGCGUCCGUCCCUGCUGGAUUGGUUGUUUCACCUCCCUAUGAACAUCCUGUGUCUGAAUGAGCUGCCUCCUCUGGUGGAAGGUUUUAAUCUUGGAGGAAACUGUUAAAGAGCAGAUUUUGAUAUGGUUCAGCUGGGAAAGGCACUUGCCUGAAUUUGAUCCUCAUGUCCGACAUGGUACAAGAGGAGAACUGACUCUAGUGAGUUGUCCUCAGGCUGCCAUAUGUGUACCAUAGCAUGUGCAUGCCCACCCACCACCCACCCCCAAAAUGUAAUUUUUAAAGUAUUUUUUGUCCCUACUGUUGAAGAUUAUAAGUGUAAUUGUAUAGAAAUAAACUACUUUCUCCACUAAUCUAUUGGUAGUAAUUGUGUCCAAUCCUCACACUCUGCUGCUAUCUCCCUUACUACUACUGCUGGGUACAGUGAAAUUUUGAAACCCUCAAACUGAGACAUGAAGAUUAGAAUUAGUUUCUUUUGAAAUUUCCCAUAAUAAUAUUUUUAGCUUCUCCUGAGAAUAUUGGGGUUUUUUGUUUUGUUUUGUUGGCUUUUCAAGACAGGGUUUCCGUGUAUAGCCUGAUUAUCCUAAAACUCACUCUGUAGCCCAGGUUAGCCUUAAAUUCAGACAUUUGGCCACCUGUACCUCCUUGAAUGCUAGAAGUAAAGGUGUUUGUUACCACACCCAAUUUAAAACUUCUUUGGGAGGAAAAAAUGAAUGCUGGGCAUGGUGGUCCAAGGAUUUAAUCCCAGCAUUCAAGAGGCAGAAGCAGGCAGGUCUUUUACAAGCCAGCUAGAACCAUACCAUAACACCCUGUCUCAGGGGGUUUAAAAAAAAAAAAAAGAUUUAUGGCUUUCUUUUCCUAUUACUAUAAAAAACUUCAUGAAACUGAUACCAUGUUGAAAUGUUAACUUUGGGGUAAUUUGAGUCUGUGUUCACAGGCCA